UACGUAGGUGGCAAGCGUUGUCCGGAAUUAUUGGGCGUAAAGCGCGCGCAGGCGGCUUCUUAAGUCUGAUGUGAAAUCUCGGGGCUCAACCCCGAGCGGCCAUUGGAAACUGGAAGCUUGAGUACAGAAGAGGAGAGUGGAAUUCCACGUGUAGCGGUGAAAUGCGUAGAUAUGUGGAGGAACACCAGUGGCGAAGGCGACUCUCUGGUCUGUAACUGACGCUGAGGCGCGAAAGCGUGGGGAGCAAACAGG
RNAcentral lists this ribosomal RNA (252 nucleotides) under uncultured bacterium. RNAcentral describes it as "partial 16S ribosomal RNA". It matches the Rfam family "Bacterial small subunit ribosomal RNA", at positions 524 to 776 of the family's 1533-position model. The record is from RNAcentral.